RNAcentral lists this ribosomal RNA (2903 nucleotides) under Lactococcus garvieae UNIUD074. Its description in RNAcentral is "bacterial LSU rRNA". It matches the Rfam family "Bacterial large subunit ribosomal RNA". The record is from RNAcentral. Lineage: Bacteria; Bacillati; Bacillota; Bacilli; Lactobacillales; Streptococcaceae.
CAAAGUUAAUAAGGGCGCACGGUGGAUGCCUUGGCAUUAAGAGCCGAAGAAGGACGUGACUAACGACGAUAUUCUAGGGGGAGCAGUAAGUACGCAUUGAUCCCUAGGUCUCCGAAUGGGGAAACCCACUAUGUUAUGCAUAGUAUCCGUAAGUGAAUACAUAGCUUACGCGAAGGUAACGCAGAGAACUGAAACAUCUAAGUACCUGCAGGAAGAGAAAGUAAAAACGAUUUCCUAAGUAGCGGCGAGCGAACGGGAAACAGGCCAAACCAAGAAGCUUGCUUCUUGGGGUUGUAGGACUGCAACGUGGACUUAAAGUCUAUAGAAGAAUUACCUGGGAAGGUAAGCCAAAGAGAGUAAUAGCCUCGUAUUUGAAAUAGACUUUAUACCUAGCAGUAUCCUGAGUAGGGCUGGACACGCGAAAUCCAGUUUGAAUCCGGGAGGACCAUCUCCCAAGCCUAAAUACUCCUUAAUGACCGAUAGUGAACCAGUACCGUGAGGGAAAGGUGAAAAGAACCCCGGGAGGGGAGUGAAAUAGCACCUGAAACCGUGUGCCUACAAGAAGUUCGAGCCCGUCAAUGGGUGAGAGCGUGCCUUUUGUAGAAUGAACCGGCGAGUUACGUUAUGAUGCGAGGUUAAGCUGAAGAGGCGGAGCCGUAGCGAAAGCGAGUCUGAAUAGGGCGCUUUAGUAUCAUGAUGCAGACCCGAAACCUAGUGACCUAUCCAUGAGCAGGUUGAAGGUGCGGUAAGACGCACUGGAGGACCGAACCAGGACACGUUGAAAAGUGUUUGGAUGACUUGUGGAUAGCGGAGAAAUUCCAAACGAACUGGGAGAUAGCUGGUUCUCUCCGAAAUAGCUUUAGGGCUAGCGUCGCAAUUUAAGUGUAUUGGAGGUAGAGCACUGUUUGGAUGAGGGGCCCAUCUCGGGUUACCAAUUUCAGAUAAACUCCGAAUGCUAAUACACAUGUGCGGCAGUCAGACUGCGAGUGCUAAGAUCCGUAGUCGAAAGGGAAACAGCCCAGACCACCAGCUAAGGUCCCAAAAUAUAUGUUAAGUGGAAAAGGAUGUGGGGUUGCACAGACAACUAGGAUGUUAGCUCAGAAGCAGCUAUCAUUCAAAGAGUGCGUAAUAGCUCACUAGUCGAGUGACCCUCGCGCCGAAAAUAGUACCGGGGCGUAAACAUAUUACCGAAGCUGUGGAUUUAAUAUUAAUUAAAUGGUAGGAGAGCGUUGUAAUCAGCGAUGAAGGUAUACCGUGAGGGGUGCUGGAGCGAUUACAAGUGAGAAUGCCGGUAUGAGUAGCGCAAGAUAAGUGAGAAUCUUAUCCACCGUAAGACUAAGGUUUCCAGGGGAAGGCUCGUCCGCCCUGGGUUAGUCGGGACCUAAGGCGAGGCCGAAAGGCGUAGUCGAUGGACAACAGGUUGAUAUUCCUGUACUAGUAUUGUUAGUGAUGGAGGGACGCAGUAGGCUAAAGGGAGCCAGUUAAUGGAUUCUGGUCUAAGCAGUGAGGUGUGGAAUGUGUCAAAUGCAUUUUCCUUUAACAUUGAGCUGUGAUGGGGAAGCAACUACGGUUGCGAAGCCCUUGAUGUCACACUGCCAAGAAAAUCUUCUAGCGUUUAAUUCAAUACUACCCGUACCGCAAACCGACACAGGUAGUCGAGGCGAGUAGCCUCAGGUGAUCGAGAGAACUCUCGUUAAGGAACUCGGCAAAAUGACCCCGUAACUUCGGGAGAAGGGGUGCUGUAGAAAUACAGCCGCAGUGAAAAGAUCCAAGCAACUGUUUAUCAAAAACACAGCUCUCUGCUAAACCGCAAGGUGAUGUAUAGGGGGUGACGCCUGCCCGGUGCUGGAAGGUUAAGAGGAGGGGUUAGACAUUAGUCGAAGCUCUGAAUUGAAGCCCCAGUAAACGGCGGCCGUAACUAUAACGGUCCUAAGGUAGCGAAAUUCCUUGUCGGGUAAGUUCCGACCCGCACGAAAGGCGUAAUGAUUUGGAUACUGUCUCAACGAGAGACUCGGUGAAAUUUUAGUACCUGUGAAGAUGCAGGUUACCCGCGACAGGACGGAAAGACCCCAUGGAGCUUUACUGCAGAUUGAUAUUGAGUACCUGUGAAGCAUGUACAGGAUAGGUAGGAGACUUUGACCUUGGGACGCUAGUUUCAAGUGAGUCGCUGUUGGGAUACUACCCUUGCUUCAUGGUUGCUCUAACCCACACGCAUAAUCGGCGUGGGAGACAGUGUCUGUCGGGCAGUUUGACUGGGGCGGUCGCCUCCUAAAGAGUAACGGAGGCGCCCAAAGGUUCCCUCAACAUGGUUGGAAAUCAUGUGUAGAGUGUAAAGGUAUAAGGGAGCUUGACUGCGAGAGCUACAACUCGAGCAGGUAGGAAACUAGGGCUUAGUGAUCCGGUGGUACCGCAUGGAAGGGCCAUCGCUCAACGGAUAAAAGCUACCCUGGGGAUAACAGGCUUAUCUCCCCCAAGAGUUCACAUCGACGGGGAGGUUUGGCACCUCGAUGUCGGCUCGUCGCAUCCUGGGGCUGUAGUCGGUCCCAAGGGUUGGGCUGUUCGCCCAUUAAAGCGGCACGCGAGCUGGGUUCAGAACGUCGUGAGACAGUUCGGUCCCUAUCCGUCGCGGGCGUAGGAAAUUUGAGAGGAUCUGCCCUUAGUACGAGAGGACCGGGGUGGACUUACCGCUGGUGUACCAGUUGUUCCGCCAGGAGCACCGCUGGGUAGCUAUGUAGGGAAGGGAUAAGCGCUGAAAGCAUCUAAGUGCGAAGCCCACCUCAAGAUGAGAUUUCCCAUUCUUUAUGAAUUAAGAGCCCUGAGAGAUGAUCAGGUUGAUAGGCUGGAAGUGGAAGUCCUGCGAGGGAUGGAGCGGACCAGUACUAAUAGCUCGAGGACUUUACCAA